ACUCAAAUGAAUUGACGGGGGCCCGCACAAGCGGUGGAGCAUGUGGUUUAAUUCGAUGCAACGCGAAGAACCUUACCUACUUUUGAAUCCUAGGAAUUUGGCUGAGAGGUCGAAGCGCCGAGAGGAGCCUAGAGACAGGUGCUGCAUGGCUGUCGUCAGCUCGUGUCGUGAGAUGUUGGGUUAAGUCCCAUAACGAGCGCAACCCUUAUUUCUAGUUACCAGCACGUGAAGGUGGGGACUUUAGAGAGACAGCUGGCGUUAAGCCAGAGGAAGGGGGGGAUGAUGUCAAGUCAUCAUGGCCUUUAUAAGUAGGGCUACACACGUGCUACAAUGGUGAAUACAAAGGGAGGCGAACCAGCGAUGGGGAGCGGACCCUCUAAAGUUCAUCGUAGUCCGGAUUGGAGUCUGCAACUCGACUCCAUGAAGCUGGAAUCGCUAGUAAUCGCAAAUGAGCAUGUUGCGGUGAAUACGUUCUCGGGCCUUGUACACACCGCCCGU
RNAcentral lists this ribosomal RNA (498 nucleotides) under uncultured bacterium. RNAcentral's name for it is "partial 16S ribosomal RNA". It matches the Rfam family "Bacterial small subunit ribosomal RNA", at positions 899 to 1397 of the family's 1533-position model. The record is from RNAcentral.